RNAcentral lists this ribosomal RNA (459 nucleotides) under uncultured bacterium. Its description in RNAcentral is "partial 16S ribosomal RNA". It matches the Rfam family "Bacterial small subunit ribosomal RNA", at positions 338 to 795 of the family's 1533-position model. The record is from RNAcentral.
CCUACGGGUGGCAGCAGUGAGGAAUAUUGGUCAAUGGGCGGGAGCCUGAACCAGCCAAGUCGCGUGAGGGAAGAAGGUACUGAGUAUUGUAAACCUCUUUUGCCAGGGGACAAAGGCGGCCACGGGUGGCCGUAAGAGGGUACCUGGAGAAAAAGCAUCGGCUAACACCGUGCCAGCAGCCGCGGUAAUCGGGAGGAUGCGAGCGUUAUCCGGAUUUAUUGGGUGUAAGGGCUGCCAGGGCGGCGUGUCAAGGCGGCGGUAAAAUGACGGGGCUCAACCCCGGCCGGCCGUUGAAACUGGCGUGCUCGAGUUGGAGAGAAGUAUGCGGAAUGCGUGGUGUAGCGGUGAAAUGCAUAGAUAUCACGAAGAACCCCGAUUGCGAAGGCAGCAUACCGGCUCCACACUGACGCUGAGGCACGAAAGCGUGGGUAUCGAACAGGAUUAGAUACCCCUGUAGUC